Molecule: ribosomal RNA, 676 nt
Filed under: uncultured bacterium
Lineage: Bacteria
Description: bacterial SSU rRNA
Rfam family: Bacterial small subunit ribosomal RNA
Source: RNAcentral
GAGCGAACUGAUAAUCUUGAGGCAGGUAGGGGCAACUGGAACUCUUGGUGGAGCGGUGGAAUGCGUAGAUAUCAAGAGGAACGCCAGAGGCGAAGGCGAGUUGCUGGGCCUGUCCUGACGCUGAGAUGCGAAAGCCAGGGGAGCGAACGGGAUUAGAUACCCCGGUAGUCCUGGCCCUAAACGAUGUGAACUAGGUCGGAGGUUCUCUGACGGAUUUCUGACCGAAAUGAAAACGGUAAGUUCACCGCCUGGGGAGUACGGUCGCAAGGCUAAAACUCAAAGGAAUUGACGGGGGCUCACACAAGCGGUGGAGCAUGUUGCUUAAUUCGAUGCAACGCGAAGAACCUUAUCCUGGGCUUGACAUACUUGGAUACCCUCCUGGAAACAGGUCGGGUUGCCCUUCGGGGUGAAACUUGUACAGGUGCUGCAUGGCUGUCGUCAGCUCGUGUCGUGAGAUGUUGGGUUAAGUCCCGUAACGAGCGAAACCCUUGUCUUUAGUUGCCAGCGAGUAAUGUCGGGGACUCUAAAGAGACUGCCGGUGUCAAACCGGAGGAAGGUGGGGAUGACGUCAAGUCCUCAUGGCCUUUAUGCCCAGGGCUGCAAACGUGCUACAAUGGCGUGUACAAACCGACGCAAGACCGUGAGGUGGAGCAAAUCGGAAAAAACACGCCCCAGU